This 320-nucleotide ribosomal RNA is filed under the name uncultured soil bacterium. RNAcentral describes it as "bacterial SSU rRNA". It matches the Rfam family "Bacterial small subunit ribosomal RNA", at positions 26 to 341 of the family's 1533-position model. The record is from RNAcentral.
AGGACGAACGCUGGCGGCGUGCUUAACACAUGCAAGUCGAGCGGUAAGGCCUUUCGGGGUACACGAGCGGCGAACGGGUGAGUAACACGUGGGUGAUCUGCCCUGCACUCUGGGAUAAGCCUGGGAAACUGGGUCUAAUACCGGAUAUGACCUGCUCUCGCAGUGGGGGUGGGUGGAAAGAUUUAUCGGUGCAGGAGUGGGCCCGCGGCCUAUCAGCUUGUUGGUGGGGUAAUGGCCUACCAAGGCGACGGACGGGUAGCCGACCUGGAGAGGGUGACCGGCCACGACUAGGGACUGGAGACCGACGGCCCAGACCUCCG